RNAcentral lists this ribosomal RNA (1004 nucleotides) under Plasmodium knowlesi. RNAcentral describes it as "SSU rRNA". It matches the Rfam family "Eukaryotic small subunit ribosomal RNA", at positions 162 to 1076 of the family's 1831-position model. The record is from RNAcentral. Lineage: Eukaryota; Apicomplexa; Aconoidasida; Haemosporida; Plasmodiidae.
AGCUAAUACUUGCUUUAGCACUCUUGAUUUAUUUCUUGAGUGUGUACUUGUUAAGCCUUAUAAGAAAAGAGUUAUUAACUUAAGGAAUUAUAACAAAGAAGUAACACGUAAUGGAUUAUUCCAUUUUUUAGUGUGUAUCAAUCGAGUUUCUGACCUAUCAGCUUUUGAUGUUAGGGUAUUGGCCUAACAUGGCUAUGACGGGUAACGGGGAAUUAGAGUUCGAUUCCGGAGAGGGAGCCUGAGAAAUAGCUACCACAUCUAAGGAAGGCAGCAGGCGCGUAAAUUACCCGAUUCUAAAGAAGAGAGGUAGUGACAAGAAAUAACAAUACAAGGCCAAUCUGGCUUUGUAAUUGGAAUGAUGGGAAUUUAAAACCUUCCCAAAAUUCAAUUGGAGGGCAAGUCUGGUGCCAGCAGCCGCGGUAAUUCCAGCUCCAAUAGCGUAUAUUAAAAUUGUUGCAGUUAAAACGCUCGUAGUUGAAUUUCAAAGAAUCGAUAUUUUAAGUAACGCUUCUAGCUACAAAUCCACAUAACUGAUGUCUCCGCGUAUCGACUUUGUGCGCAUUUUAGCUAUUAUGUGUUCUUUUAAUUAAAAUGAUUCUUUUUAAGAUUCAUCUAUUAAAAAUUUGCUUCGGCAUAAUUUUUUUUGAUGAUCUUGUUACUUUGAGUAAAUUAGAGUGUUCAAAGCAAACAGAUAUAGCAUUUGUGCGUUUGAAUACUACGGCAUGGAAUAACAAAAUUGAACAGGUCAGAAUUUUUUUGUUCUUUUUUCUUAUUUUGGCUUAGUUACGAUUAAUAGGAGUAGCUUGGGGGCAUUUGUAUUCAGAUGUCAGAGGUGAAAUUCUUAGAUUUUCUGGAGACAAACAACUGCGAAAGCAUUUGCCUAAAAUACUUCCAUUAAUCAAGAACGAAAGUUAAGGGAGUGAAGACGAUCAGAUACCGUCAUAAUCUUAACCAUAAACUAUGCCGACUAGGCUUUGGAUGAAAGAUUUUAAAAUAAGAGUUUU